AAAGGCUAGAGGGUGGUUUGGGGGUGGAGGCAGAGGUCCAGUGAGCUGGGCUCCACCCUUUCUCUCCCUGCAGUCCCAACUCCAUUUUUAUCUGUGCUAUAUGUUGGAGUCUAGCCAAGAUGUCAUUUGAACAAAGAUUCUGAAAGAUCAAAGAAAAAAGUUUGAAAACCACCAGGACAAUGCUUUCAGGGGACUUUAUCCAAAAGACUGCAACAAUGUAAAGAGAUACGAUUGCUUUUAUUACUGUGAUAUGUUUAAAGUAUUAUAAAUUUUUUAAGAGCUUUGUAAGUGACAGAAGUGAAGACAUGCUCAUUUUAAUGUUACCAGUCAACUCUGAGAAGACUAAAGGUCAAGGGACAAUGAAAAUGUGACCCUUACCAACGACAGAAACUCCCAGGAAGCCACAAUUAACUCAAGACCACCAGGAUAUUUGGGGAAGUUUAUCCUUCUGGAAACCAGAAUUUCUGAUUUGUGGAAAAUUCUAUAGAUAUUCUCUGCCAGACUCCAGCCUAUUUGUGUGAGACAUCUGGGGAGGCUCCCCUUUUUUUCACCAUUUGAGGACUGAAAGUAAAUUUAGCUUCCUCAGCAGAAAGAAAAGAAGCUGUUUUGGAGGUUGGGAAGAGCUUUAGAAAAUGCGGCAUCACGUCUGUUGCCCCAUUUGAAGAAAGCAGCUCUGGAAAAGGCCUAGGACAUUAGUUGCUACAAAGUUCUAGAUCAUUCUGUGUGGUAAAGAAGUGCCUUUCACCUCCCACUGUGAUU
Molecule: long non-coding RNA, 759 nt
Filed under: Homo sapiens (human)
Lineage: Eukaryota; Metazoa; Chordata; Mammalia; Primates; Hominidae
Description: HSALNT0358588
Source: RNAcentral